GAGGGUAUAGCUCAGUGGUAGAGUGCCUGCUUAGCAUGCAUGAGGUCCUGGGUUCAAUCCCCAGUACCUCCA
Molecule: transfer RNA, 72 nt
Filed under: Camelus bactrianus (Bactrian camel)
Lineage: Eukaryota; Metazoa; Chordata; Mammalia; Artiodactyla; Camelidae
Also listed under: 3 other names
Rfam family: tRNA
About the family: Transfer RNA (tRNA) molecules are approximately 80 nucleotides in length. Their secondary structure includes four short double-helical elements and three loops (D, anti-codon, and T loops).
Source: Rfam by way of RNAcentral